GAUGGACGCUGGCGGCGUGCCUAAUACAUGCAAGUCGAGCGAACAGACGAGGAGCUUGCUCCUCUGACGUUAGCGGCGGAUGGGUGAGUAACACGUGGAUAACCUACCUAUAAGACUGGGAUAACUUCGGGAAACCGGAGCUAAUACCGGAUAAUAUAUUGAACCGCAUGGUUCAAUAGUGAAAGACGGUUUUGCUGUCACUUAUAGAUGGAUCCGCGCCGCAUUAGCUAGUUGGUAAGGUAACGGCUUACCAAGGCGACGAUGCGUAGCCGACCUGAGAGGGUGAUCGGCCACACUGGAACUGAGACACGGUCCAGACUCCUACGGGAGGCAGCAGUAGGGAAUCUUCCGCAAUGGGCGAAAGCCUGACGGAGCAACGCCGCGUGAGUGAUGAAGGUCUUCGGAUUGUAAAACUCUGUUAUUAGGGAAGAACAAAUGUGUAAGUAACUAUGCACGUCUUGACGGUACCUAAUCAGAAAGCCACGGCUAACUACGUG
This 497-nucleotide ribosomal RNA is filed under the name uncultured bacterium. Its description in RNAcentral is "partial 16S ribosomal RNA". It matches the Rfam family "Bacterial small subunit ribosomal RNA", at positions 28 to 507 of the family's 1533-position model. The record is from RNAcentral.